This 68-nucleotide transfer RNA is filed under the name Synapha fasciata. RNAcentral's name for it is "tRNA-Trp". The record is from RNAcentral. Lineage: Eukaryota; Metazoa; Arthropoda; Insecta; Diptera; Mycetophilidae.
AAGAUUUUAAGUUAAAAUAAACUAUUAUCCUUCAAAGCUAAAAAUAUAAGAAUUUCUUUUAAAUCUUA